RNAcentral lists this ribosomal RNA (899 nucleotides) under uncultured marine bacterium. Its description in RNAcentral is "bacterial SSU rRNA". It matches the Rfam family "Bacterial small subunit ribosomal RNA", at positions 61 to 1008 of the family's 1533-position model. The record is from RNAcentral.
GUCGAACGAAGUAGCAAUACUUAGUGGCAGACGGGUGAGUAACAUGUAGGUAUCUUCCCUAUGGUGAGGAAUAACACGAGGAAACUUGUGCUAAUACCUCAUAAGUCUUUACGGAGAAAGCUUUAUGCGCCAUUGGAUGAGCCUGCACUUGAUUAGUUUGUUGGUGGGGUAAUGGCCUACCAAGACUAUGAUCAAUAGCUGAUUUGAGAGGAUGAUCAGCCACAUUGGGACUGAGACACGGCCCAAACUCCUACGGGAGGCAGCAGUAGGGAAUCUUGCACAAUGGGGGAAACCCUGAUGCAGCGAUGCCGCGUGAGUGAAGAAGGCCUUUGGGUUGUAAAGCUCUUUCGUCGGGGAAGAAAAUGACUGUACCCGAAUAAGAAGGUCCGGCUAACUUCGUGCCAGCAGCCGCGGUAAUACGAAGGGACCUAGCGUAGUUCGGAAUUACUGGGCUUAAAGAGUUCGUAGGUGGUUAAAAAAGUUGGUGGUGAAAUCCCAGAGCUUAACUCUGGAACUGCCAUCAAAACUUUUUAGCUAGAGUAUGAUAGAGGAAAGCAGAAUUUCUAGUGUAGAGGUGAAAUUCGUAGAUAUUAGAAAGAAUACCAAUUGCGAAGGCAGCUUUCUGGAUUAUUACUGACGCUGAGGGACGAAAGCAUGGGUAGCGAAGAGGAUUAGAUACCCUCGUAGUCCGUGCCGUAAACGAUGUGUGUUAGACGUUGGAAAUUUAUUUUCAGUGUCGCAGCGAAAGCAAUAAACACACCGCCUGGGGAGUACGACCGCGAGGUUAAAACUCAAAUGAAUUGACGGGGACCCGCACAAGUAGUGGAGCAUGUGGUUUAAUUCGAAGAUACGCGCAGAACCUUACCAACACUUGACAUGUUCGUCGCGACUUUAAGAGA